Molecule: ribosomal RNA, 325 nt
Filed under: uncultured eukaryote
Lineage: Eukaryota
Description: partial 18S ribosomal RNA
Rfam family: Eukaryotic small subunit ribosomal RNA
Source: RNAcentral
CCCUUAGAUGUCCUGGGCCGCACGCGCGCUACACUGAUGCAUUCAACGAGUUUUACCUUGGCCGAGAGGCCUGGGCAAUCUUUUAAACCUGCAUCGUGAUAGGGAUAGAUUAUUGCAAUUAUUAAUCUUGAACGAGGAAUUCCUAGUAAACGCAAAUCAUCAAUUUGCAUUGAUUACGUCCCUGCCCUUUGUACACACCGCCCGUCGCACCUACCGAUUGAAUGGUCCGGUGAAGCCUCGGGAUUGUGGCCAGUUCACUUUAUUGGGAGUUGGCUGUGAGAACUUGUCUAAACCUUAUCAUUGAGAGGAAGGUGAAGUCGUAACA